UGUAUAUGGCCUUGAAACACCCGACCUCUUCCAUCGCCCUUCUCACGGUUGUCCGAGCAGAAACCCAUGAAUUGGUUCCCGGCUUCACUCCCGAGAAAUAUAUAACAGGAAUACUGCUGGGAGCUGCCAUAGCUAGCCUGGUUGUUGUUUUUCUCUGGGUGGACUUUUCGGGUUUAUGUGUUGAUCAAAAGCUCGAGAUGAGUAGUAGUAUUUCUUUAAAAACCCCGUCUCCUAUU
RNAcentral lists this long non-coding RNA (236 nucleotides) under Linum usitatissimum (flax). Its description in RNAcentral is "long non-coding RNA (LUSI_LNC000631)". Lineage: Eukaryota; Viridiplantae; Streptophyta; Magnoliopsida; Malpighiales; Linaceae. The record is from RNAcentral.